GACGAACGCUGGCGGCGUGCUUAACACAUGCAAGUCGAACGAAGAGCGAUGGAAGCUUGCUUCUAUCAAUCUUAGUGGCGAACGGGUGAGUAACGCGUAAUCAACCUGCCCUUCAGAGGGGGACAACAGUUGGAAACGACUGCUAAUACCGCAUACGAUCUAAUCUCGGCAUCGAGGAUAGAUGAAAGGUGGCCUCUACAUGUAAGCUAUCACUGAAGGAGGGGAUUGCGUCUGAUUAGCUAGUUGGAGGGGUAACGGCCCACCAAGGCGAUGAUCAGUAGCCGGUCUGAGAGGAUGAACGGCCACAUUGGGACUGAGACACGGCCCAGACUCCUACGGGAGGCAGCAGUGGGGAAUCUUCCGCAAUGGACGAAAGUCUGACGGAGCAACGCCGCGUGAGUGAUGACGGCCUUCGGGUUGUAAAGCUCUGUUAAUCGGGACGAAAGGCCUUCUUGCGAAUAGUGAGAAGGAUUGACGGUACCGGAAUAGA
Molecule: ribosomal RNA, 490 nt
Filed under: Veillonella parvula
Lineage: Bacteria; Bacillati; Bacillota; Negativicutes; Veillonellales; Veillonellaceae
Description: bacterial SSU rRNA
Rfam family: Bacterial small subunit ribosomal RNA
Source: RNAcentral